This 324-nucleotide ribosomal RNA is filed under the name uncultured Chloroflexota bacterium. RNAcentral's name for it is "bacterial SSU rRNA". It matches the Rfam family "Bacterial small subunit ribosomal RNA", at positions 28 to 351 of the family's 1533-position model. The record is from RNAcentral. Lineage: Bacteria; Bacillati; Chloroflexota.
GAUAAACGCUGGCGGCGUGCAUUAGACAUGCAAGUCGAACGGGCGUUAUGGGGCUUGCUCCAUAACGCUAGUGGCGGACGGCUGAGUAACGCGUGGGUGACCUGCCCCGAAGUGGGGAAUAACUGCCCGAAAGGGUGGCUAAUACCGCAUACGAUCGUUCUUUCAUUUGAACGAUCAAAGCAGUAAUGCGCUUUGGGAGGGGCCUGCGUCCGAUUAGCUCGUUGGUGGGGUAAUGGCUCACCAAGGCGACGAUCGGUAGGUGGUCUGAGAGGACGAUCACCCAGACUGGGACUGAGACACGGCCCAGACUCCUACGGGAGGCAG